Molecule: ribosomal RNA, 443 nt
Filed under: uncultured bacterium
Lineage: Bacteria
Description: partial 16S ribosomal RNA
Rfam family: Bacterial small subunit ribosomal RNA
Source: RNAcentral
CCUACGGGUGGCAGCAGUGGGGAAUAUUGGGCAAUGGACGCAAGCCUGACCCAGCAACGCCGCGUGAGGGAAGAAGGCUUUCGGGUCGUAAACCUCUUUUCUCAGGGACGAAGAAAGUGGCGGUUCCUUAGGCAUACGCUACGGCUAACUACGUGCCAGCCGCCGCGGUACUACGUAGGUGGCAAGCGUUAUCCGGAUUUAUUGGGUGUAAAGGGCGUGUAGGCGGGAGCGCAAGUCAGAUGUGAAAGCUCAGGGCUCAACCCUGAACCUGCAUUUGAAACUGGGUGUCUUGAGUGCAGGAGAGGCGAUCGGAAUUCCGUGUGUAGCGGUGAAAUGCGUAGAUAUACGGAGGAACACCAGUGGCGAAGGCGGAUUGCUGGACAGUAACUGACGCUGAGGCGCGAAAGCGUGGGGAGCAAACAGGAUUAGAUACCCCUGUAGUC